UACUCUGGAUUAGGCUUUGGCUUCAGGGAAUGUUGUGGCUGGUUUGAUCUUCUAUCCAGACCACUAAAGUUUUCUCCAUAUCAGC
Molecule: microRNA precursor, 85 nt
Organism: Vicugna pacos (alpaca)
Lineage: Eukaryota; Metazoa; Chordata; Mammalia; Artiodactyla; Camelidae
Source: Ensembl